UCCUGGUUAACCCAGGCAGUCUCACUAGAGUUCCCACCUUAAAUGUUGGCAACUAGUGAUAAGGGUUGCGCUCGUUGCGGGACUUAACCCAACACCUCACGGCACGAGCUGACGACAGCCAUGCAGCACCUGUAUUCUUGUCCUUUCGGAAGACGACAUUUCUGCCGCUGUCAAGAGUAUGUCAAGUCUGGGUAAGGUUCUUCGCGUUGCAUCGAAUUAAACCACAUGCUCCACUGCUUGUGCGGGCCCCCGUCAAUUCUUUUGAGUUUCACCCUUGCGAGCGUACUCCUCAGGCGGUACACUUAUCGCGUUAGCUACGACACAACUGGGGUUGAGACCAGUUACAUCAAGUGUACAUCGUUUACAGCAAGGACUAC
This 377-nucleotide unclassified non-coding RNA is filed under the name uncultured Chlamydiaceae bacterium. Its description in RNAcentral is "contains 16S-23S intergenic spacer region". Lineage: Bacteria; Pseudomonadati; Chlamydiota; Chlamydiia; Chlamydiales; Chlamydiaceae. The record is from RNAcentral.